CUCUCAUCCGGUUCCUGAGCCUGAGCAGUGAAACGAUGCCUCUGGACGCCUGCCCGAGAUGACCCACCGCAAAGCGUAGAAUAAGCUCCUGCUUUAUCCGCAUGGACUGGCAGUUAUCAAUACAGACGGAGGAAGAAGAAGAAAAAAAAGGGGGGGGGUCCAGGACGUUAGGAUGGAAGUGGUGUGCAAUGGAUCAGACUGUGCAGGGGACAUCUAGAGAGGGCGCGGGAGACCUGCAGGAUGGGGAAUGCAUGUGCAACUUUUCAAGACUCUAGUU
This 277-nucleotide long non-coding RNA is filed under the name Cyclopterus lumpus (lumpfish). RNAcentral's name for it is "lncRNA (ENSCLMG00005001714.1)". Lineage: Eukaryota; Metazoa; Chordata; Actinopteri; Perciformes; Cyclopteridae. The record is from RNAcentral.